GGUGAACGCUGGCGGCAUGCUUUACACAUGCAAGUCGAACGGUAACAGGCCGCAAGGUGCUGACGAGUGGCGAACGGGUGAGUAAUGCAUCGGAACGUGCCCAGUCGUGGGGGAUAACGCAGCGAAAGCUGCGCUAAUACCGCAUACGAUCUCUGGAUGAAAGCGGGGGACCGAAAGGCCUCGCGCGAUUGGAGCGGCCGAUGUCAGAUUAGGUAGUUGGUGGGGUAAAGGCCCACCAAGCCAACGAUCUGUAGCUGGUCUGAGAGGACGACCAGCCACACUGGGACUGAGACACGGCCCAGACUCCUACGGGAGGCAGCAGUGGGGAAUUUUGGACAAUGGGCGCAAGCCUGAUCCAGCAGUGCCGCGUGCAGGAAGAAGGCCUUCGGGUUGUAAACUGCUUUUGUACGGAACGAAACGGUCCGGGCUAAUACCCUGGGCUAAUGACGGUACCGUAAGAAUAAGCACCGGCUAACUACGUGCCAGCAGCCGCCGCAG
Molecule: ribosomal RNA, 498 nt
Filed under: uncultured bacterium
Lineage: Bacteria
Description: partial 16S ribosomal RNA
Rfam family: Bacterial small subunit ribosomal RNA
Source: RNAcentral